RNAcentral lists this ribosomal RNA (651 nucleotides) under uncultured bacterium. Its description in RNAcentral is "bacterial SSU rRNA". It matches the Rfam family "Bacterial small subunit ribosomal RNA", at positions 222 to 863 of the family's 1533-position model. The record is from RNAcentral.
GAGAUGAGCCCGCGUACCAUUAGCUUGUUGGUAGGGUAACGGCCUACCAAGGCUACGAUGGUUAGCUGGUCUGAGAGGAUGAUCAGCCACACUGGAACUGACACACGGUCCAGACUCCUACGGGAGGCAGCAGUGAGGAAUUUUGCGCAAUGGGGGAAACCCUGACGCAGCAACGCCGCGUGAGUGAUGAAGGCUUUCGGGUCGUAAAGCUCUGUCAAGUGGGAAGAACCUGCCCCGUGAUAAUACCAUGGGGUACCGACGGUACCACUGAAGGAAGCACCGGCUAACUCCGUGCCAGCAGCCGCGGUAAUACGGGGGGUGCUAGCGUUAUUCGGAAUCAUUGGGCGUAAAGGGCGCGUAGGCGGUCUUUAAAGUCAGAUGUGAAAGCCCUCGGCUUAACCGAGGAAGUGCAUUUGAUACUAAAAGACUUGAGUAUGGGAGAGGGAAGCGGAAUUCCUGGUGUAGCGGUGAAAUGCGUAGAUAUCAGGAGGAACACCAGUGGCGAAGGCGGCUUCCUGGACCAAUACUGACGCUGAGGCGCGAAGGCGUGGGGAGCAAACAGGAUUAGAUACCCUGGUAGUCCACGCAGUAAACGUGGAACACUAGGUGUAGCGGGUAUUGACCCCUGCUGUGCCGAAGCUAACGCAUUAA